CGUAGUUCAAUGGAUAGAGCACCGGUUUCCGAAGCCGGUAAUCCGGGUUCGAAUCCCGGCG
This 61-nucleotide transfer RNA is filed under the name marine eukaryotic metagenome. It matches the Rfam family "tRNA", at positions 6 to 65 of the family's 71-position model. From Rfam's summary of the family: Transfer RNA (tRNA) molecules are approximately 80 nucleotides in length. Their secondary structure includes four short double-helical elements and three loops (D, anti-codon, and T loops). Further hydrogen bonds mediate the characteristic L-shaped molecular structure. tRNAs have two regions of fundamental functional importance: the anti-codon, which is responsible for specific mRNA codon recognition, and the 3' end, to which the tRNAs corresponding amino acid is attached (by aminoacyl-tRNA synthetases). tRNAs cope with the degeneracy of the genetic code in two manners: having more than one tRNA (with a specific anti-codon) for a particular amino acid; and 'wobble' base-pairing, i.e. permitting non-standard base-pairing at the 3rd anti-codon position. The record is from RNAcentral.